Molecule: ribosomal RNA, 496 nt
Filed under: uncultured bacterium
Lineage: Bacteria
Description: partial 16S ribosomal RNA
Rfam family: Bacterial small subunit ribosomal RNA
Source: RNAcentral
GAUGAACGCUGGCGGCGUGCCUAAUACAUGCAAGUCGAGCGAACAGACGAGGAGCUUGCUCCUCUGACGUUAGCGGCGGACGGGUGAGUAACACGUGGAUAACCUACCUAUAAGACUGGGAUAACUUCGGGAAACCGGAGCUAAUACCGGAUAAUAUAUUGAACCGCAUGGUUCAAUAGUGAAAGACGGUUUUGCUGUCACUUAUAGAUGGAUCCGCGCCGCAUUAGCUAGUUGGUAAGGUAACGGCUUACCAAGGCAACGAUGCGUAGCCGACCUGAGAGGGUGAUCGGCCACACUGGAACUGAGACACGGUCCAGACUCCUACGGGAGGCAGCAGUAGGGAAUCUUCCGCAAUGGGCGAAAGCCUGACGGAGCAACGCCGCGUGAGUGAUGAAGGUCUUCGGAUCGUAAAACUCUGUUAUUAGGGAAGAACAAAUGUGUAAGUAACUAUGCACGUCUUGACGGUACCUAAUCUGAAAGCCACGGCUAACUACGU